AGUCGAGGGGCAGCAUUUUAGUUUGCUUGCAAACUAAAGAUGGCGACCGGCGCACGGGCUGAGCUAACACGCUAUCCAACCUGCCGAUAACUCGGGGAUAGCCUUUCGAAAGAAAGAUUAAUAUCCGAUAGUAUAUUAAAACCGCAUGGUUUUACUAUUAAAGAAUUUCGGUUAUCGAUGGGGAUGCGUUCCAUUAGUUUGUUGGCGGGGUAACGGCCCACCAAGACUACGAUGGAUAGGGGUUCUGAGAGGAAGGUCCCCCACAUUGGAACUGAGACACGGUCCAAACUCNUACGGGAGGCAGCAGUGAGGAAUAUUGGUCAAUGGACGAGAGUCUGAACCAGCCAAGUAGCGUGAAGGAUGACUGCCCUAUGGGUUGUAAACUUCUUUUAUAUGGGAAUAAAGUAUUCCACGGGUGGGAUUUUGUAUGUACCAUAUGAAUAAGGAUCGGCUAACUCCGUGCCAGCAGCCGGCGGUAAUACGGAGGAUCCGAGCGUUAUCCGGAUUUUAUUGGGUUUAAAGGGAGCGUAGGUGGAUUGUUAAGUCAGUUGUGAAAGUUUGCGGCUCAACCGUAAAAUUGCAGUUGAAACUGGCAGUCUUGAGUACAGUAGAGGUGGGCGGAAUUCGUGGUGUAGCGGUGAAAUGCUUAGAUAUCACGAAGAACUCCGAUUGCGAAGGCAGCUCACUAGACUGCAACUGACACUGAUGCUCGAAAGUGUGGGUAUCAAACAGGAUUAGAUACCCUGGUAGUCCACACAGUAAACGAUGAAUACUCGCUGUUUGCGAUAUACAGUAAGCGGCCAAGCGAAAGCAUUAAGUAUUCCACCUGGGGAGUACGCCGGCAACGGUGAAACUCAAAGGAAUUGACGGGGGCCCCGCACAAGCGGAGGAACAUGUGGUUUAAUUCGAUGAUACGCGAGGAACCUUACCCGGGCUUAAAUUGCAUUUGAAUAAUCUGGAAACAGGUUAGCCGCAAGGCAAAUGUGAAGGUGCUGCAUGGUUGUCGUCAGCUCGUGCCGUGAGGUGUCGGCUUAAGUGCCAUAACGAGCGCAACCCUUAUCUUUAGUUACUAACAGGUCAUGCUGAGGACUCUAGAGAGACUGCCGUCGUAAGAUGUGAGGAAGGUGGGGAUGACGUCAAAUCAGCACGGCCCUUACGUCCGGGGCUACACACGUGUUACAAUGGGGGGUACAGAAGGCAGCUACCUGGCGACAGGAUGCUAAUCCCAAAAACCUCUCUCAGUUCGGAUCGAAGUCUGCAACCCGACUUCGUGAAGCUGGAUUCGCUAGUAAUCGCGCAUCAGCCAUGGCGCGGUGAAUACGUUCCCGGGCCUUGUACACACCGCCCGUCAAGCCAUGAAAGCCGGGGGUACCUGAAGUACGAACCGCAAGGAG
This 1394-nucleotide ribosomal RNA is filed under the name bacterium NLAE-zl-C161. Its description in RNAcentral is "16S ribosomal RNA". It matches the Rfam family "Bacterial small subunit ribosomal RNA". The record is from RNAcentral.